This 470-nucleotide ribosomal RNA is filed under the name uncultured bacterium. RNAcentral describes it as "bacterial SSU rRNA". It matches the Rfam family "Bacterial small subunit ribosomal RNA", at positions 335 to 798 of the family's 1533-position model. The record is from RNAcentral.
GCCCUACGGGGGGCUGCAGUCGAGAAUCUUUCGCAAUGGGCGAAAGCCUGACGAAGCGACGCUGCGUGAGUGAUGAAGGCCUUCGGGUCGUAAAGCUCUUUCGCCUGGGAACAAGGAAAUCCGGCUAAUAUCCGGAGGACUUGAGAGUAUCAGGUAAAGAAGCACCGGCUAACUCCGUGCCAGCAGCUGCGGUAAUACGGAGGGUGCAAGCGUUAAUCGGAAUUAUUGGGCGUAAAGGGUGCGCAGGCGGAAACACAAGUCGGGUGUGAAAUCCCGGGGCUCAACCUCGGAACGGCACUCGAAACUGUGUUUCUAGAGGAUAGAAGGAGAAAAUGGAAUUCCACAAGUAGCGGUGAAAUGCGUAGAUAUGUGGAAGAACACCGGUGGCGAAGGCGGUUUUCUAUUUUAUUCCUGACGCUCAUGCACGAAAGUUAGGGGAUCAAACAGGAUUAGAUACCCCAGUAGUCUUA